RNAcentral lists this long non-coding RNA (750 nucleotides) under Homo sapiens (human). RNAcentral's name for it is "HSALNT0134516". The record is from RNAcentral. Lineage: Eukaryota; Metazoa; Chordata; Mammalia; Primates; Hominidae.
GCCCUACCACCUUCCUCCAUGUGAGGACAUAAUGUUCCUCCCCUCCAAAGGGUACAGCAGCAAGGCACCAUCUUGGAAGCAGAGAGCAGCCCUCACCAGCAUGCAACCUUCUGGUGCCCUGAUCUUAGAGUCCCCAGCCUCCAGAACAACGGAGUCUCGCUGUGUCGCCGAGGCUGGAGUGCAGUGGCAUGAUCUCAGCUCACCGCAACCUCUGCCUCCCAGGUUCAAGUUAUUCUCAUGCCUCAGCCUCCUGAGUAGCUGGCAUGUGCCGCCAUGCCUGGCUAAUUUUGUAUUUUUAGUAAAGACAAUGUUUCUCCAUGUGGUCAGGCUGGUCUCAAACUUCUGACCUCAGUUUUGCAAAUACUUGCUUUUGGCAUCAGCGUACAGUUUGGCAUCUGCUUUGGAAAUAUUCUUGCAACUAAAGGCAGAAAAGACAUCUUUUGUGAAAGGUAAACCACAGGUAUAUUUUGGCUGCAGCAGUCAGGGGAAUAAAUACAAAAAGAGAAUAAUGGCUUUGUCAUUGGUUUUCCGUGCUUAAGAAGCAGGUGUUCCUCUGGUGCCCGCAGGAGCAGCCACCCCUGCUUGGGUGAGUGCAGGACGCCUCUCCAAGGUGGCUGCACACAGCAGGUGAACUGCUCACUCAGAAAGGGUCAUGGGCGGACUGGAUCUGCAACCUGCCGAGAACGCACCAGGCGGGUCCCUGAGCUGAAGGCUUGUCAACAGUACUUACCACAAACAACUCUUUCGGCU